This 173-nucleotide non-coding RNA is filed under the name uncultured Prevotella sp. The record is from RNAcentral. Lineage: Bacteria; Pseudomonadati; Bacteroidota; Bacteroidia; Bacteroidales; Prevotellaceae.
UCUCAUGUCGGGCGAUUAAAAGGGAAUCAGGUGAGAAUCCUGAACAGUCCCGCUGCUGUAAGCGUUCCUUAGAAGAGGUGAACAACGUGUGCCACUGAGCUGCCUCUGUUGAAGGCAAAUUGGGAAGGCCGUUCACGCUCGGUUCGCAAGUCAGAAGACCUGCCUUUUGCCUU